This 1035-nucleotide ribosomal RNA is filed under the name Staphylococcus sp. RNAcentral describes it as "bacterial SSU rRNA". It matches the Rfam family "Bacterial small subunit ribosomal RNA", at positions 38 to 1055 of the family's 1533-position model. The record is from RNAcentral. Lineage: Bacteria; Bacillati; Bacillota; Bacilli; Caryophanales; Staphylococcaceae.
GGGUGCGGGUGCUAUAAUGCAGUCGAGCGAACAGACGAGGAGCUUGCUCCUCUGACGUUAGCGGCGGACGGGUGAGUAACACGUGGAUAACCUACCUAUAAGACUGGGAUAACUUCGGGAAACCGGAGCUAAUACCGGAUAAUAUAUUGAACCGCAUGGUUCAAUAGUGAAAGACGGUUUUGCUGUCACUUAUAGAUGGAUCCGCGCCGCAUUAGCUAGUUGGUAAGGUAACGGCUUACCAAGGCAACGAUGCGUAGCCGACCUGAGAGGGUGAUCGGCCACACUGGAACUGAGACACGGUCCAGACUCCUACGGGAGGCAGCAGUAGGGAAUCUUCCGCAAUGGGCGAAAGCCUGACGGAGCAACGCCGCGUGAGUGAUGAAGGUCUUCGGAUCGUAAAACUCUGUUAUUAGGGAAGAACAAAUGUGUAAGUAACUAUGCACGUCUUGACGGUACCUAAUCAGAAAGCCACGGCUAACUACGUGCCAGCAGCCGCGGUAAUACGUAGGUGGCAAGCGUUAUCCGGAAUUAUUGGGCGUAAAGCGCGCGUAGGCGGUUUUUUAAGUCUGAUGUGAAAGCCCACGGCUCAACCGUGGAGGGUCAUUGGAAACUGGAAAACUUGAGUGCAGAAGAGGAAAGUGGAAUUCCAUGUGUAGCGGUGAAAUGCGCAGAGAUAUGGAGGAACACCAGUGGCGAAGGCGACUUUCUGGUCUGUAACUGACGCUGAUGUGCGAAAGCGUGGGGAUCAAACAGGAUUAGAUACCCUGGUAGUCCACGCCGUAAACGAUGAGUGCUAAGUGUUAGGGGGUUUCCGCCCCUUAGUGCUGCAGCUAACGCAUUAAGCACUCCGCCUGGGGAGUACGACCGCAAGGUUGAAACUCAAAGGAAUUGACGGGGACCCGCACAAGCGGUGGAACAUGUGGUUUAAUUCGAAGCAACGCGAAGAACCUUACCAAAUCUUGACUUCCUCUGCCCCCUCAAAAAAUAAAUUUUCCCCUUCGGGGGACAAAAGGAAAGGGGGGGCUGGGUUUCCCC